CUGCGCGCCAUGUGGGACCCUCCUCCGGUGGCCGGGGAGCAGCCGGGGAUCGAACCGGUGCUACAGAGGCUGCGGGCAGCUUCGCAACCCAGCGCUCAACCGCUACGCCACCGGGGAGGCCCCAGAAUACUUUGUUUUUUAGGUUGCUUUUAACACUUUAGCCAAAAUAAAGUGAUUUAAUAGUGAUAAAUAUCAGGAAGUAUAAGUAUCAUUGUUUUAAUUCUAUAUAUAUUGCAUAUAUCAAUAUGUGCACUUACAAAUGUAUUAAUAUCUGAGGAAGGAGAUUUAGAGAGGUUAAUUAUUUUUUCCAAGGUUACCUAUAUAUGAUAUUCACUCAAAAUUAAAAAUGACUAAUUAUUGAGAAACUACACUGUACUUUUGUAGAAUUGAUAGUGUUCUAGUGAUCAAGAUAUAGAGAGAAUGUUGUGAUAAAACUGACUUUUCAGUGGCAGGGGAAAAAAAGCAAUAUAAAUAAGUUUUAAAAUAAUCCAACAGAGAAAUAACAAAUGAUGAUAGGAUCUGUACAAAGGAUCAAAAGAAACCAACUGAAUUUUCAAUACCAUUUAGGAUAACAUCAAAAUAUGAAACCCUUAAGGAUAUUUUUAAUAAAAUGUAUGUAUCUGUAAAGCUAUGAAAACAUUAUUCUUUAAUGGAAAUUGUAAUACUUCAAUAAAUGACAAUAUGAACUCUAUUUACAGACCAGGAUGCAUACAGCAAAGUUUGGGAGAAAGCACAAUUGCAGAGGGGAGCACAGAGAGGCAGAAAUGACUGAAUCACCCUUCAGUAAGAAAAAGGAGGCCUGUUUGAGAGACUUGAGCAGAGAAGGACAUCAAUAAGGCUGCCAUGGGAACUGGGCCACUAGACUGACCACCACGGCAGAUAAACCAGCCCAGCUCCAGGAAUGCAGAGGCAGGGACUGCACAUGUGUCUGUGUCAAAGGUCUGCACCAAAGAGCAGACAUCCCGGCAGAUAACCCAUGCAAACUGGCUCCCCAAGAGUGAAAUUGUAACAGGGUGGUCCCCAGGAAAGGGGGAGGUUCCAGGUUCCCACCCCACCCAAGGGAGGGUGGAGCUGAGCAGGGAGAGAAGAAGCUGCAGGGGAGACUGAGGAAGGAAGGAAGCAGGAUGGAGCCAGGAGGAGACCGGUAGGAGGCACGUGGAGCUGAGAGACGUGUGAAAAAACUGCUCUUGCCUUUUGGUCGUGGACUGGGUGACACAGAUGUGGGCGAGAGACCUGUGGGGAGGUGACAAUGGCAGUUUUUGUCUUGCUUUUGAUUUUGCUCUUUUCCUUCUAGGCUUUCCUGGUGGUUUCUGAUCCUUUUCUGUGGGUCCCCACUGGAAGAUGCCUUAGACCUGUGGCAGGCUUUGGGGCCUUAUUCCGGACCAAUCCCUUUUGGAUGGACUUUUACCCAUGAGGCGACGGGUUACUUUGGGUACUUUAUUUAGAAACUAUAGAGACACAGUGGGUGGGGGGAGGGCAAGGAGAGGAAGGACUAGAGUCAAAAUAAGGUGGGGGUGCAGUUGUAUUGGGAAUAUAACCAAAAUGAAAAUGCAUACAUUGUGCAAAGAUGAAAAAUGAUG
Long non-coding RNA from Talpa occidentalis (Iberian mole), 1580 nucleotides. RefSeq lists it as uncharacterized. The record is from RefSeq and is a predicted model, not a curated record. The transcript is spliced from 3 exons. Lineage: Eukaryota; Metazoa; Chordata; Mammalia; Eulipotyphla; Talpidae.